CAUAUGCUAACAAACAAACCUUCCCCUUACAUAUAUGACAUUUGUGGAUCAUUAAAUAAGGAUCUAUAUCCACUUUCAUACAUGUGGAUUCAUACAUAAAUAAUAGGACUAUACACACAAAUACGACUUGUAUACAUCUAGCUCUUACACGUGACUUGUCACACCACGGUGUACAAACUCACGCACACAAUGCUGCGGAGGCGGUGUCACGUGCUGGAUAGACUUGUGUGUUUGUGUGUGUGUGUGCAUGCGAGCACGUACUGUCCUCAGCGGAAAAGUAAGAAUUAUUCACGAUCGACAGAAUUUUGCGACAAUCCUGAUCGCUCCCAAGCCGCACACCUCGCCCAUGAGUAGACAGCAAAAAAAAAAAAAAAGUUCUCAAAACAAUAAUAACAAUAACAACAACAACAAAGAGAGCAUAUAACAGCAAAUAUAGAGACAGCAAGCAUCUGACAAUAAAUAAUUGACAGCAAAUACCUGACAAAAAAAAACAAAAAAAAACAGCAGAAAACAAUUAAACCGUUGGAGCAAACAACAUACAAGAUCCUGAGACCAACCAGAAAACACUAAACAACCGAGAGGAAAUAGCAGACACUAAUUAAACAACAGUCAGAAAAUAGCUGACAACAAACGCCUGAGACAACCAGCAGACACCAAACACGCAGGUAGGAAAUAGCAGACACUAAACAACAGCAAACAGCUGACAAAGCAGCAUCCUCUGAAGGUCGUUAGGUGGGUGUGGUGAAGACUUCGUUCCCGUGUUUACAGGACCAAACAGGACCAGCCAGAAGGUACCGGAGGCGGCUCCAGGAGUUGCAGGAUGCGUCAUCUUGUGUUUCUGCUUUCUGCCCGUGAGUGCGAGCCGAACAUCCGCAGCGGCAGCUGUGAACUGUAAGUGGUUCAUCGCGUCAAAAACGUGGGAUGUGGAAACCCAAGCAUAGCUACACAGCCAUUGAGCCCCUGUUGGAGUUAUCACGCCCAUUGUCUUCGGGAAAUAGUUCUGAACACCGCCAUGAUGUGCAGGGACCCUUACAAGUCGUUUGAUACAUUCCCUGCCGGUGUCAUUUUUAAACAUGUCGAGGAAGGAGACCCGUCUGACAUUUUACAAGAACGCGGCGGAUCUCCUCAUAUCACGUGAUACACAGCGUGUCUCUGCGCCAUGUCUCUGUGGGCCUCGAUGGCGGUGACGUGUGUUUGGUGAGUGGGCUGUGUGGGCCAUCAAGCCACUCGUGCACACAUCAUCUUACAUUUAUCGAAGAAGAAUUCAUAUCUGGGAAGGUACUAGAACUGUUAAGAAGUUGGAGGAACUGUAAACAAACAAAAAAAUUUGUAAAAAAAAAAAUCUUAACUUCCUUGACUCUUCAUGGUGUAAUUUUCCAGAAUAAAGCAUUGUUACUGUCCCUGACUGAGACAUAUGAGAGCGUGUACGUGUGGGAUGUGUUCGGGUAAAGCUGUGUUCUCCUACCCGUUGUUGGUCGUGCGUGCUCAAGUGUGAUGGUGACGGCACGUGACGUUUUGCUUGGCGGUGGUCGACGAUAAGGUCUGGACACGCUUCAGUAGUUUUCGAUGAAGACUUUCAGCCAAGAUCAGCACGGUAGUCCCAUAUAAUUCUCACACCUCAGCGAUGGGAAGCUUUCACUAACCGACAAAGCCAGCCCAGCGGAACAUCACCUUUUCCACUUUACGAGUUGCUU
Pomacea canaliculata is the source of this 1694-nucleotide long non-coding RNA. RefSeq lists it as uncharacterized. The record is from RefSeq and is a predicted model, not a curated record. The transcript is spliced from 3 exons. NCBI's taxonomy places the organism in Eukaryota, Metazoa, Mollusca, Gastropoda, Architaenioglossa, Ampullariidae.